UCAUCUUKAUAUCUCCACCUGUGCACCUUUUGUAGACCUGGAUAAUCUUUCUGAAUGCACUUGCAUUUCAGGUUUUGAGGAAUUGACUUUAUGUCUCUCCUUACAUUUCCAGGCCUAUGUUUCUUCAUAUACCCCUAUGUAUGUUUUAGAAUGUAACACAUGGGCCUUUUGUGCCUAUAAAUUUAUACAACUUUCAGCAACGGAUCUCUUGGCUCUCGCAUCGAUGAAGAACGCAGCGAAAUGCGAUAAGUAAUGUGAAUUGCAGAAUUCAGUGAAUCAUCGAAUCUUUGAACGCACCUUGCGCUCCUUGGUAUUCCGAGGAGCAUGCCUGUUUGAGUGUCAUUAAUAUAUCAACCUCUUCAGCUUAUGCUUGUUGAGUGUUGGAUGUGGGGGUAUUUUUUUUGCUGGCAUCUUAUGAAGUCAGCUCCCCUGAAAUGCAUUAGCAGAACAAUUUAUUGACUGUUCAUUGGUGUGAUAAAUAUCUACGCUAUUGACGUCGGUCAGUUCAGCUUCUAACAGUCUAUUAACUUGGACAAAUUUUUUCAUUAAUGUGACCUCAAAUCAGGUAGGACUACCCGCUGAACUUAAGCAUAUCAAUAAGCGGAGGAAAAGAAACUAACAAG
This 623-nucleotide ribosomal RNA is filed under the name Cortinarius anfractoides. RNAcentral describes it as "eukaryotic LSU rRNA". The stretch from base 189 to 342 matches the Rfam family "5.8S ribosomal RNA". Lineage: Eukaryota; Fungi; Basidiomycota; Agaricomycetes; Agaricales; Cortinariaceae. The record is from RNAcentral.